AAUUUACUUCAAGUUAUGCAAUGAUGAACAUCCUUUUUCUCUCCUGAGUCUCUGAUGCUGCUGUCUUCUUCUACUUCAAACACUGACUCCAAAGUCCUCCCAGAAUUAUCAGAAGAAACCAAAGGAAAGAGACAGAGAAAAAUUUGGUGAAUAAGAAUCAGACAUAGAGAGAGACAUCUACUGUGCUGCUUCAUCUCUACUGAAGCUUCUCCUUUGCAGCUGGGGACCAGAAGCUCAAACCUGGGUGCUUAAGCAUGGUAA
Molecule: long non-coding RNA, 261 nt
Organism: Erinaceus europaeus (western European hedgehog)
Lineage: Eukaryota; Metazoa; Chordata; Mammalia; Eulipotyphla; Erinaceidae
Exons: 2
Source: RefSeq, a predicted model, not a curated record